AUGGAGAUCAUCGACGCUGAGCUGCGGCUCGGCCCGCCGGGCAGCGGCGGCGGCGGCGACGCGCAGAAGAAACGGUCGUCGUCGACAGUGGCACUCGCGGCCACCAGCGAGGCCUCCGGGACCGACGACCACGACGCCGCGCCGGCCUCCAAGGUUCAGGUGGUUGGGUGGCCGCCGGUGGGGGCGUACCGGAAGAGCACGUUCCAGUCGGCGUCGGCGUCGGCGGCGAAGGAGAGUAAAGGCCCUGGAGAGGCCGGGAAGAGAGGGAGGCUGUACGUGAAGGUGAGCAUGGACGGGGCGCCCUACCUGCGGAAGGUGGACCUGCGGACGUACGGGGGGUACGGGGAGCUGCGGGCCGCGUUGGACGCGCUCUUCGGCUGCUUCUCCUCCUGCUCUUCGCCGGACAACGGCCAGUUCGCCAUGGCCUACGAGGACAAGGACGGCGACCUCAUGCUCGCCGGCGACGUCCCGUGGGACAUGUUCAUCUCCUCCUGCAAGAGGCUGAGGAUAAUGAGAAGCUCCGAAGCACGAUGA
This 534-nucleotide ribosomal RNA is filed under the name Triticum aestivum (bread wheat). RNAcentral describes it as "partial small subunit ribosomal RNA". The record is from RNAcentral. Lineage: Eukaryota; Viridiplantae; Streptophyta; Magnoliopsida; Poales; Poaceae.